This 450-nucleotide ribosomal RNA is filed under the name uncultured bacterium. RNAcentral's name for it is "bacterial SSU rRNA". It matches the Rfam family "Bacterial small subunit ribosomal RNA", at positions 354 to 796 of the family's 1533-position model. The record is from RNAcentral.
GUGGGGAAUAUUGGACAAUGGGCGAAAGCCUGAUCCAGCCAUGCCGCGUGUGUGAAGAAGGUCUUCGGAUUGUAAAGCACUUUAAGUUGGGAGGAAGGGCAGUAAGUUAAUACCUUGCUGUUUUGACGUUACCGACAGAAUAAGCACCGGCUAACUUCGUGCCAGCAGCCGCGGUAAUACGAAGGGUGCAAGCGUUAAUCGGAAUUACUGGGCGUAAAGCGCGCGUAGGUGGUUUUGUAAUUUGGAGGUGAAAUCCCCGGGCUCAACCUGGGAACUGCCUUCAAAACUGCAUGACUAGAGUACGGUAGGGGGUAGUGGAAUUUACUGUGUAGCGGUGAAAUGCGUAGAUAUAGGAAGGAACACCAGUGGCGAAGGCGACUACCUGGACUGAUACUGACACUGAGGUGCGAAAGCGUGGGGAGCAAACAGGAUUAGAUACCCUUGUAGUCC